AGAGAUAUAAAUAAGGAAUGCAGAUUUUAGGUUCCCUAGCUCUAAUAACCAAAGUUUAUCGAAAGCCUUCCUUUUCCACCACCUUUGUUUCUUAACACACCCACCAGAUCUAGCGCUUUUAAACUUCUCUCCAGCACCCGCUAGUUGCAAGGUUAGCUGCCUCUUGUUUUUUGUGUUCUUGGAGGGUCGCCAGUGUGAAAUCUGAGGAGGUUUGUGAUCGGUUUUACUAAAUAAGAAAGAAAAGAAAGGGUGAGUUAAACGAAAAAGAAAAAAGAUGGGAGAGGGUGAGCGGUUUCAGCUGGGAAUGGUUGGGGCUUUGACUCUGUCAGUAGUUUCAUCAGUGUCCAUAGUGAUCUGCAACAAGGCUUUAAUCAGCUCAUUGGGUUUCCAUUUCGCUACAACUUUGACAAGCUGGCAUCUUCUAGUCACCUUUUCUUCUCUUCACAUGGCUUUAAAGAUGAAACUGUUCGAACACAAACCGUUUGAUCAAAAAGCUGUUAUGGGCUUUGGCAUUCUAAAUGGGAUCUCCAUUGGACUUUUGAAUUUGAGCCUGGGUUUCAAUUCUGUUGGAUUUUAUCAGAUGACCAAGCUGGCAAUCAUCCCUUGUACUGUACUUUUGGAGACCCUUUUCCUUGGGAAGAGAUUCAGUAGGAGUAUUCAGCUUUCGCUCGUUAUCCUCCUUCUGGGAGUUGGCAUUGCAACAGUUACUGAUUUGCAACUCAAUGCUCUGGGCUCUGUCCUAUCUCUCCUUGCAAUUGUUACAACAUGUGUUGCUCAAAUUAUGACCAAUACCAUCCAGAAGAAUUUUAAGGUUUCUUCAACCCAACUUCUAUAUCAAUCUUGUCCAUACCAAGCAGGCACUUUGUUGAUCUCUGGCCCAUUUUUGGAUGGGUUUUUGACUGAUCAAAAUGUAUUUGCUUUCAAAUAUACAACUCAAGUACUGGCUUUCAUCAUUCUAUCCUGCCUAAUAUCCAUCUCUGUAAAUUUUAGCACAUUCCUUGUAAUUGGAAAGACCUCCCCAGUCACCUAUCAGGUUCUUGGACAUCUGAAGACAUGCCUUGUAUUGGCAUUUGGUUAUGUCUUACUUCAUGACCCCUUUAGCUGGAGGAAUAUUUUAGGAAUUUUUAUUGCACUGAUUGGGAUGGUUCUAUAUUCUUAUUUUUGCACUCGUGAGAGUCAGUCAACAACUACCGAAGUGUCGGCACAACCAUUUCAGCAGGUGGAAGGUGAAUCUGCUCCUCUGCUGAAUGCGGAAAAUGGAAAAGGUGGAUUAAUUGAGGCUGUUGUGCCAAAAGCCCCUGUAUGGAAUUCAAGCAAAGAUUUGGAUGCAUGAAGGAUUUUUCAUACACCUAAGAGAAGCAGAUGCAGCCAUGAGGGCAAUGACGAGACCCAUGUCUUACAUCCCAAACUUGCACAGGCAGUAUAACUAUAGCUUCGGAGCAAAAUUGUAGUUUCUGUCGAGAUGAAAGGAGGAAAAAAAAAGUUACGAACAGGAAUAAUUCUACAAACAGAUGAUGAACUUUUAAUCUAUCAUGCUACACUGAUGGAGUCGGUUGAAGUGCUAAAUGUCAAAGAGUUAGCUACUCAGGCAGAGCAAAGAGUGGAAUGACAGAGGCCCAAAUUGAUGCUGGGGGAGGAGUAGACAUUUAGAGAAUGAAAAGCGAAAAAAAAGGGGGGUGGGAUCGACACGAUGGGGUCUAGCUUGUUUCUCUAUGAUAUAUUCUAUGGUCCAUUGUAAUCAUACAUACACUGCACAUUUUUGUGAUUGGUAACUAGUUUCAUUUAAAAGAAGCUUUUCGAAUCA
Molecule: RNA transcript, 1804 nt
Organism: Carya illinoinensis
Lineage: Eukaryota; Viridiplantae; Streptophyta; Magnoliopsida; Fagales; Juglandaceae
Gene name: UDP-xylose transporter 3-like
Exons: 9
Source: RefSeq, a predicted model, not a curated record